CCGAGCAAAUUAAUAGAAAUAAAAGUCUUGAGCUACAAUAGAGAAGUGGCGCUCAACGCCAUUUCUUAUCGCCCAACACCUACCAAAGAGAAAGCACAACGCUUGGCAGCCUUGAGUUUCUCAUUAAGGCAAAGAACACAGAUAGCUCAUUGUCUUUGUAGUGCUCAAUGCCCUAGAGUUUAGUGGCUCUCUAACUUCGUGACACUCAGCGCCACUCUGUGCCCUUCAACACCAUACCAGAAAGCCAACAACUCUUAUUAUUGAUCUAUGUGUAAUGAACCAUUUCCAAAUGACAAAAUUGGUAUCCUAAUACUUGAAAUUAUUUGGGAUACAUGUUUAAACCUUGGUUUGGACAUCAA
Molecule: long non-coding RNA, 359 nt
Filed under: Vigna radiata
Lineage: Eukaryota; Viridiplantae; Streptophyta; Magnoliopsida; Fabales; Fabaceae
Description: long non-coding RNA (VRAD_LNC015740)
Source: RNAcentral